GAGUCAUUAGCUCAGUUGGUUUAGAGCACUAGCUUGACAGGCUAGGGGUCAUAGGUUCAAAUCCUAUAUGGCUCAC
RNAcentral lists this transfer RNA (76 nucleotides) under Bacteroidetes bacterium ADurb.Bin028. Its description in RNAcentral is "tRNA-Val". It matches the Rfam family "tRNA". Rfam says of the family: Transfer RNA (tRNA) molecules are approximately 80 nucleotides in length. Their secondary structure includes four short double-helical elements and three loops (D, anti-codon, and T loops). Further hydrogen bonds mediate the characteristic L-shaped molecular structure. tRNAs have two regions of fundamental functional importance: the anti-codon, which is responsible for specific mRNA codon recognition, and the 3' end, to which the tRNAs corresponding amino acid is attached (by aminoacyl-tRNA synthetases). tRNAs cope with the degeneracy of the genetic code in two manners: having more than one tRNA (with a specific anti-codon) for a particular amino acid; and 'wobble' base-pairing, i.e. permitting non-standard base-pairing at the 3rd anti-codon position. Lineage: Bacteria; Pseudomonadati; Bacteroidota. The record is from RNAcentral.